UCUGCACCCCCCUGCAGUUCCAUGGCAGUGGGAGCCCAGCAGGACUGGGGGCUGAGGACCCUCCGGUGCGGCUCAGGACCAUGGAAGGGGCAGGGGAGGCGAGGGGCUCCCUGCAGAAAAUGCCAGCCCUCCCCGAAAGACUCUUCAGGGCUGCGGGCGGACGUGGGUGGAAACCCACCCACCUGCUUCAAUCCUGACCUCGCUCACAGAUCUGCGCCUCCCUUUGAAGUCCGCUUAGGUCUCGCCCUGCCUUGGAGCUCCUAUGCCCGUGAGUGGGGCAGAAAUUCCCAGCGUCCUCGUGGGGAGGGUCUCGGGGCUCAAAGCUCCAGCCAAGAGCGACUAGGGCUCCGGCGUUUCAUAAAUAAUUACACAUUCCUUCAACUCUCACAAAGCCAAGAGAAAACAAACCCGCAAUGCCGAGAUUCCUGGAAUGACUUCCAGUGACCUGGGCCAGGCGGAGGCGGGGUCAGCUGGGUGGGACUCGGGACAGUCCCCUUUCCCCUUUCUCUCUUCAUUUCCUGGGCACCAGUCCCCUUUCUUGUGGCAUUUUAGUUAAAAGACCUGAAAGGGGAAUGAAAGGCACUUGAGGACUGUGGUGCCCGUCAGGGCCCCGGACGGUGGGGAAGCCUGCCCGGUCCUGGACAACCCCAUGGAGCUGUACCCUGGCACUGACCUCAAGGAGAACCCACAGAGGCUGCGGUCUCCAUUCACUGUGUCCCCUCCAGGGUUGCUUUAGGUGUGAGAGUCUCCUUUGGACGCCCCAGGAAUUGCCUCUGACCCCCAGUCUGGAGCUCCUGUUCUGAGCAGGGGCCCUGGGAUUGCCCUUGAGCCCCUGCCCUGAGCUCCUGCUCCGAACAGGGGGCAUCCCUGGAUGUGCCCUCAUUCCUUUGAGGUUUGCUGUGGCUCGCACCGCAGCUUAAUCCGACUCACCCCAGCCGGCUAGGGCGGUUUCCUGUUACAAACACAGGCUUAGUUUUAAGAUCAAACAACUGUUUUGGUUCUGGUCUGAUCUCGCGGGGGGUGUGGUGCCACUCCCGGUGCAGCCCGGCCAAGGGGUGAUGUCAGGUCAUGUUGGCUUCAUCGCCGAGCACUGUAGCCUCCUCUGUGUCCACCGUCCCCACCCAGCCGCCCCCUCUAGCCGCUGUGCCCCAGGUUCCACUCAGCAGUGGGUCAUCGGCCCCUCUGCCAUCCUCGCCACGGAUGCCCAGCCUUAUUUGUUUGGGGUAUGUCUGGGCCAUUCCACCCACUCCUCCUGAGGGCUCUCCUCUCCCCUGCCCCGUGUGGUCGGCGUCCAUCUCUGAAGUGCAGGAAGCAGGAAGCAAAGCCUGCUUUUGGGAAGGACCCUGGGCUCUGGCCAGGACGGCUUUGGGGCUAAGCCAGAAAGGAGGGCGUGUGGAAGCCGUUUGGGAUGCCAGGUCAGAGGGGAGGGGGCUGCUCACACGGGGCCAUUGUAUUGUAAAUUUUCAGGGCUCCCUUCUACCCUUCUUCUCUGGCUAGCUUUCUAGCAAGGCCAAGACGUGACAUUCUCAUUCUGUUUGGAGCAGGAUGAGGGGCUUGUGUCCUAACACCGCCAAGUGUGGACGGGGCUGGGAACUGCACAUGGCUGCCACCUGCUGCGGGGGUGGCGCCCGGGAGUGUCCCUCGGAGAAUGUCAGGCUGGCAGGGCGAGUGAGGUCCAGCCAUGGGGCCCCUGCUCAGCCCCGAGGACGCCCACCCUCCCCACACUGGCACAGGGUCUCAGCGAGAGACUUCGGCACUCGGGGAAAGGCCAUUUUGUCAUUGACUGGAAGUUUCUCAAGAAAGCAUUUUCCAUUCGCGUUUCCACGGAGGUCGGCUUUGCUGGAGACCACAGGACCCUGCCCUCCACCAGACGCAGUGUGCAGAGGCGUGUGCCCGAAACCGAAAUGCGGCAUCACACGGCUCUUUCAUCUGGAGCCAAACUCUCGGGAAACAAACCAGACAGACGCAGGGCGGUCACGACACCCGCGUGCGGCGUCCAAAGGCUAACUCGAGGCUGCGGUCCCUGCUGAGCACGCGGUCAUUCAACCUGGGGAAGCGAUGCCGGGAGACUCUUCUAUUCAGAUGACGUGAGGGAAGCUCCCUCAUCCUCAUAAAAGCAAGAGGGCCACCUCCACACCGUCCUGCUUUUCUGGACGCCAUGACCAGGAUGGGACAGGACCCAAGAACCCACACAUGAGACCACACUAAGACCCUAAAGAGUCUGAGCUUCUCCAGAGCGGCUGCUGACUCAUGCACACCCGGCCUGGUGUGCCCACCCCACCCAGUAUGCUCCUUGCCUGGAACAGACCUCGGAGGUCAGGAGGUGAGAGCUUCCAACCCGCUCGGCCGAAGCUUCAGAGCGCACGUGCCGUUUCUCUGCCUUUGCCUCCUGUCUUUCCAUUGAGGUAACCAGCUGUUCCCUGCUCCUGUCUGGGCUGUGGCGGGCAGCCUGUCUCCUGCAGACGACACCCCCAGAACUGCCCCAGGCUCCACACGACACCAUCCGGCAUCAGGACCUGCCAGGCACCCUCUCUCAGCAUGGCCACAGCCACCACGUGGACUAAAGGCACAGAGUCUCCCUGCCAGGUGGGAGGGCACGGCUGCAUGGGGCUGUCCGCUCUCACUGAUCCCUGGAGCUCUAACGUCCUCAGGGUCCCGGGGCCCACUUCUGCCCAGCAGCACUGGGUCACAGGAGCCCAGCUUCAGGUGCAGACAAGGACCCAAAGUCAGCCCCAGCUCCUCUGAUGCUGAACUUCGGCGGACCUCAGCGUUUCCAGGCGAGCUCCAGCCGCAGGGUCCCUGGAGGCGCUGCACAGGACCAGCUCCCUGCUGGGCCCCUCGACGCCAUCCUGAAAAGGGGUUCUUAGUCUUCCCA
This is a non-coding RNA of Saimiri boliviensis boliviensis (Bolivian squirrel monkey), 2875 nucleotides long. Lineage: Eukaryota; Metazoa; Chordata; Mammalia; Primates; Cebidae. The record is from RefSeq and is a predicted model, not a curated record.